This 253-nucleotide ribosomal RNA is filed under the name uncultured bacterium. Its description in RNAcentral is "partial 16S ribosomal RNA". It matches the Rfam family "Bacterial small subunit ribosomal RNA", at positions 524 to 776 of the family's 1533-position model. The record is from RNAcentral.
UACGUAGGGACCAAGCGUUGUUCGGAUUUACUGGGCGUAAAGGGCGCGUAGGCGGCGUGGUAAGUCACUUGUGAAAUCUCUGAGCUUAACUCAGAACGGCCAAGUGAUACUGCUGUGCUAGAGUGCAGAAGGGGCAAUCGGAAUUCUUGGUGUAGCGGUGAAAUGCGUAGAUAUCAGGAGGAACACCUGAGGUGAAGACGGGUUGCUGGGCUGACACUGACGCUGAGGCGCGAAAGCCAGGGGAGCAAACGGG